Vollenhovia emeryi is the source of this 3380-nucleotide long non-coding RNA. RefSeq lists it as uncharacterized. The transcript is spliced from 2 exons. NCBI's taxonomy places the organism in Eukaryota, Metazoa, Arthropoda, Insecta, Hymenoptera, Formicidae. The record is from RefSeq and is a predicted model, not a curated record.
AGAGAGGAGUAAAAAAAUAUAACGUCAUCAAAGUAGGUUAUUGCUGGUCUAUGUAGGUGUACAGGUCAGCUAAAUAGGUGUGAAUUAUCCUUAAAAGUGUCAAAAUAGCACUAAAAUUUUGACUCGGGUUCAUACACGAAAUUAUUAAUUACUUGAAAAGACACGCCAUCCUCAGUUUACCUGGAAAUACUUUACAAGCGUAGCAUCAAUAACCUUUCAAUUAAUUCGGCCUCACACUCGCAUUUUUCAUUUUCGUAUUAUUUUACUCCGCGGAGAGAUAUGUUGUUAUGGAAAAAAUUUACGUCGCGUCGUUUCAUCGAAGGCUUAAUAAGCGCUUAAUAAGCGCGCGGUAUUCGCGGAUUAAAAUCGCGCCUCGCGCUUUCGAACGGGAGGAGUCGUUCGCAACAAUUGGCAGGUCACGCACACUCGUUUCGUCGACUCGAAUGCCGAAGGCAUUCGAAUUGCCUUCCUGUCAUUACGCGCGGUGCCUGACAAGGUCUGACAAAUCGCAUCGUCUGACACAUCGCGCAAAUGUGACCGAGCAGCCAGAUGCCGGACGACACGAGUUUCCAUGCAAAAAUGAAGUGUGAAUCUACAGUUUGUAAGGUCGACUUUAGACAGGCAAUCGUAUUUGUAGUUAGCAUUAAGUUAAUACUAGCUAAAUUAAAUAAAUUUUUAGGAAAUGCACUACACCCCGUAUAUAAUUCACGAGUAAAAUGGAAUACGUCAACUGGAAACGCAAAUUAAAUGAAAAUUAUUACAUACAAAAAUGUUCCCUUUUUUUCGAGCCGAGAGCAAGUUUGUUGGUUAAACGUUUUCACACGACAUGUUACAGCAGGAAGGCUUCAUAAAUUAUAGACUUGCCCCAUUUUCACAUAGAAACUUCGUAUUUCGUUCUCAUCUUUCUCUUACACUCUCCUUCAACAAAAUUUAUUGUUUUCUUUUCAACGUCAUACUAGCUUUAUUACCGAAUAAAAAUAGUCAGGUGGCACCUGAUAUUAUAUUUGUCGUACGACAACUUUUGCAAGCGUGUCGAUUAGCUGUAGAAUAGAAAUGUUCUCGAGUUUUUAGAAAUUUUCUAUCCUGCAGCCAGUCAACACGCUUGAAAAAUUUGUCGCACGACAAAUGUAAUAUCAGCCUUAAUCGUGCGUGUGACGAAAGUUCUUCCUGCACUGUUCCAAUAAAACUAUUACGAAAAAUAGACAUCUUGUACAGAUUACACUUAUACGCGCAUAUAAUAUACAAUAUACGGAUUGCCUACGAUAGAAUGAAAACGGGAGGGGCCAUUUCGUACAUAAAUAUAUUCCGCAAAUAUACUUUUCGUAAAUGUAAUCCUUGCUUCCCGCGGGAAUGGCCAAGAUACUGCACUGCUGUGACAAAAAUAACGAAAACGUCGUACAUGGCGAUGCAACGCAUCCGCGCGUGUGUGCUUUGCGCUCGGAUCGGUCACGGACAUUUAAUCGUCCUAUCCGUACGUUAUGUGGGAGUGAGAAGCAGAAGUGAUGUAAGCCAAGAUUCUCAUAAUCGCGUGAAAGAGGAAAUCUCGAUCGAUUUGAAUAGCUGUUUACGCGUGGCGCCGACUUCCGCUGACGCGACGAGGAUGUUCACUUUGAAGGCUCAACGUUUUGCAAAAUCCCCCGACAAAAACCCCGCGAUUUCAUAUCCGCGGACGGAUCGUGAGAUCUUUCGAUGCGCACGUUAUUGUUCAAUUCUUCCAAUCACGCCAAUUGCGAAACGUUAAUGGAUACGUGCGUAACGCGUAUCGCCAGCAAAUAUUUGAAAUACGAGGAUCGACGAGGCAAACGAUGGUUAUCGAUCAAGCUGUACCAGCUGGGUCUUAUCAAUUAUCAUGCCGCGCGAGCUUAGCCUCGUUCGUCAACGGUUUUAACAGCGAGUAACGAGUUGCGCUCCGCGAAUUAAUGCCGCGUAACUAACAAUAGAAAACGCGCAUCUCUCCCGCGGCGCCCGCGGCUGCGUUCUAUGCAACGAAUUACAUAAUGAGGAACGAAUGGCACUCCGCCACGUGAUACGCGACAUAUUUGCGAUCACGAUGGCGCUUUGUCAGGAGCCGCCCACCGAGCACGAAUUAUUUAUAAAGAGGACCAAGGAAGGAGAGCUCGUUUUCGCCAAGUGGGGAAAUUUUUGCCUGCAAACGCGAGAGCGGGUGCGCGUUUGUAAAUGUGACGUUGCACAAUUUCGCGAUAAGGUGCCGUGGCGUGUGAUAGUUAUAUUUGUGAGAUGAAGCGCGUACAUACUGUUUGACACCUUCUUACUGAUAAAGGCUCGAAUAAAUUUUUCCACGGCGCUACGAGAGUUCGGUCCUCUCGCCCAUCCGGGAGAGACGGCGUUUCCCAGUGCGGUCGCGAGCCACGCCACAAUCAACGAGCAAAUCAGCGAGCGUAUGCGUUUAAAAUGAAAUGUCGUUGGCCACGAGUUACGGGUCGGAUCGAUAAUUUAUGGGUUCUAACUCAUCUGCCUGUUCGGUAACGUAAUUAACGUGCAAAGCGCGACGCGCGUCGCCUAAGUGGACGGGCUGCCUCGCGCGACGAAUGAGAGUCUCUCGAGACUUGUUAUCGGCGAUUAAACCGAUAAAAAAGCAAGCGGUAACAAUCAGGACGCGGGAAAAGAGACGGAAGCGUUCGUAGCCAAGAGGAUCCAGUCGGCGAAACAGUGAAAACGGAGGAAUCUUACAAUUUCCGGGUUCGAGACGAAAAAGCAAAUGCUUCAACGUGUCGCGGCUGUUACGACGUUGCUUUUAAAAGAGCUGAGAAAUCGGAAGUUGGCGCUUUGCAAAGGCACGAGUAGCGUCGCCGCGCGAAACGGGUAGCGUUAUCAGAUAUCCGCGGCUAUAUCUUUAUGUUGUUCAAACAUUACUCGUAACACACAACGUAGUAAUAUUGUGAUUGUUCGGCGCUCCCCACGCGAGACUGCGUCAAUUUUAGCCGCGCCGACAGGCUAUAGUAGUGCCAAGGUCGUGCCGUUGGCUUUUCUCUCGGCUCGCCAUCGCCACGCUAUUUCGAGGGUUUUCUUAAAUUCGUCGCACGAUACACCGACUAUCGCCACCGCGAAACACCGAAAUAUCGGCUCCCGAGAUUUCAGCCGACGCGAAAUCACUCCGCGCGGGUCCACCCGGCGAAGAUUGAUGUCACUUCCCAAUUCGUUUUGCACGUUGUCCCCGCGCGCAUUCGGAAAGAGCGGCGGCAAUAUUUUCGCCAAUAAAGAGCGACGCGUAAUUAUUAUUAAUUACGGGAGUUUAAUGUUAUUUGCGAUUUAACAUUAAUAUUGAAUAUCGCGCACGUUAAUAAAGCUGAAUAUUAUGUUAAUUGAAUUAGAGCAGCGUGAUAAAUCACCGUGGGAAAAUACACAGAAUGUUGAACACA